Molecule: ribosomal RNA, 298 nt
Filed under: uncultured bacterium
Lineage: Bacteria
Description: partial 16S ribosomal RNA
Rfam family: Bacterial small subunit ribosomal RNA
Source: RNAcentral
AUGAACGCUAGCGGCAGGCCUAAUACAUGCAAGCCGAACGGCAAGGUUUUCAGCAAUGGGAACCCUAGAGUGGCGUAAGGGUGCGUAACACGUAUGCAAUCUACCCUUAACAGGCGGAUAGGUCCCCGAAAGGGAAUUAAGCCGCCAUAGGAAUUUUGGAUGGCAUCAUUUGAAAAUUUAAAACUACGGUGGUUAAGGAUGAGCAUGCGCAUGAUUAGUUAGUUGGCGGGGUAACGCCCACCAAGACUUUGAUCAUUAGGGGAACUGAGAGGUUCGGUCCCCCACACUGGCACUGAGA